GUAAAUCCUCCCGCAUGCGGUUGUUUACCCUGAUCAAAUGAUGCGGUUCUUGAAUACCAACCGUGGCCAACGACAGUCGACGACAGAAUGCCCGACCCAUGGGCAGAACCCGACAUGCAAAGGUCAGGUGACCCAAAAGGACGCAAUUGAACUUUCCUAGCUCCUUUGACCCGGUCCACUAAUUCCAGAAGAACCGUGAGCUUAUCCUCCGGCAACCGAAAAAUCAUAUUACCGGUAUUGAUUUAGA
This is a non-coding RNA of Pelobates cultripes (western spadefoot toad), 247 nucleotides long. The record is from the annotation of a GenBank genome assembly. NCBI's taxonomy places the organism in Eukaryota, Metazoa, Chordata, Amphibia, Anura, Pelobatidae.